CCAGUGUAUUUAAUGAAAUGGACAAUUAUUGAAGAUGGCAUAAAUUUCAAAAAUUGGAUACACAAGAAGUAGAAAACUUGAAUAUACCAGUAACCACAAAAGAAACUGACAUGGUUGUCAAAGGAAUACCCACCCAAAAGGUGCAUGACCCAAAUGUUUUACAAUGAGUUCUCCCAAGUCGUCAAGGAACAAGUAAUUCCCAUCCUAGCCAACCCUUUCCAGAGCACAGCAUCAAAUGGAAAGCUGUGUGACUCAUUUUAUAAGCCUUGCUUAACUCUGAUACCAGUGAGGACAAGGACGGCCCAGAAAAGAAAAACACAGGCCGGAUCCCGUAUAGGAACAGAGAAGAAUCGAUCAUUCACUCAAUAAAUUGCCAUUUCCUGGAGGACAGGGAAGGUAUAUUAUUUAGCUUUUCAUCCUCCGCAUCUAGCAUGAUGUCUGGCACACAGCAGAUAUUCAAGACACGUUCGUGGAGCUGAAAAAAACCAAACAAAUUAACCAUUAAUAUAAGAAAACUGAAUUGUCUCAGAGACUUCAGCUGGGAUUCCUAAAAAGCUAACAGCAUUAUAAGGUGGUUCUGCUGGAAAGCAAUAUAGCGACAUGUAACAAAAACUAUGAAAAUGUUCAUUCUCCUUCACUAGGUCUUUUCCCAUUUGUGAAUGCUCUCCAAAGAAAUAAUCCAAAGGGGUGAAAUGUACACAGAUGUUCCCGGCAACUCUAGUUAUAAUAGUGAAAAGAACUGGAAGCAAUCCAAGUGUCUAAUAGGGAAAUGACUAAGCAAACAAUGGGAUUAUUAUAUUGCUAUUAAAAAUGACGGAGGUGAGGACUGUGUCAACAUAGAGAAGUGUGUAUCUGCAGGAACGUUAAGUGGAAAAAAGAACACAAACCAGUGUUUAAACACCAGUGGUUAAAGAUGUGUGUGUACAUUAACAGAGAUCAGAGGCCACUUUGGAGAAAUGAAAAUGGCCGGGGUUCAGUGUUCACUGGGUCUUUUUUUCCUAUGCAGUUCCAUGAGCUUAUGACAAUAAUAGGCGAGAUGUCAUGCAACAUAGAUAUCCUGAAAGUCAUCUGCAGAAUAAGGCCUCUGUUACCUACUCAGUUGUGUAAUCCAAGAGAUAAUUUAAUGUUCAACUCGCAUCUAAUUAUUAUGAAAAUAACAACAUUUCUUUAAGAGGACAAAAUGCUUUUCUUUAGUUUAAUUCACCAAGCAAUUUUGAGAGCUUAACUAUGUGUUAGAGCA
This 1240-nucleotide long non-coding RNA is filed under the name Equus caballus (horse). RNAcentral describes it as "lncRNA (ENSECAG00000045623.1)". Lineage: Eukaryota; Metazoa; Chordata; Mammalia; Perissodactyla; Equidae. The record is from RNAcentral.